ACACAACUGAGCUUACUAAUACCUUAACCAUUCAAGGUAACCCUACUCUAAACGAGGUCGUCGUGAUUUGAUACCUGUGCAAUUUUUAAUUUGAAAAUUCUGGAUUUGAAAAUAUUAUAUAACUACUUGUGUAUCUUAUUUUAAGGAAAUUCAUGUAUUCAAACAUAUUUUUUUCAGAUGGCGAACUGACUGAUAUCUUUUGAAUCAGGAGUAUUUAUAAUAGUGUUUUAAGGCGAUAUCAUAACUGUGCUUUUUAUUGACAACUAUAAUACUGGAUAUCAGUGUAAUUCUCUGUGGAUAAUUAUGAGAGUGUGUCAAUCUAUGAUGGAUUAAAACAGUUACUUAAACAGGGAUUAUGACGGCGAGAAAGGGAUUUUUAGCCCAACAGCAAAAUACAUUUCUUGAUACCAUAGCAACCAAG
Molecule: long non-coding RNA, 421 nt
Filed under: Mytilus galloprovincialis (Mediterranean mussel)
Lineage: Eukaryota; Metazoa; Mollusca; Bivalvia; Mytilida; Mytilidae
Source: RNAcentral